RNAcentral lists this ribosomal RNA (272 nucleotides) under uncultured bacterium. RNAcentral's name for it is "partial 16S ribosomal RNA". It matches the Rfam family "Bacterial small subunit ribosomal RNA", at positions 335 to 604 of the family's 1533-position model. The record is from RNAcentral.
UGCCUACGGGACGCAGCAGUGAGGAAUAUUGGUCAAUGGGCUUACGCCUGAACCAGCCAAGUCGCGUGAGGGAAGACUGCCCUAUGGGUUGUAAACCUCUUUUGUCAGGGAGCAACGCCGGCUACGUGUAGCCGGACUGAGAGUACCUGAAGAAAAAGCAUCGGCUAACUCCGUGCCAGCAGCCGCGGUAAUACGGAGGAUGCGAGCGUUAUCCGGAUUUAUUGGGUGUAAAGGGAGCGUAGGUGGCAUGGUAAGCCAGAAGUGAAAACCCG